This is a non-coding RNA of Aplosporella prunicola CBS 121167, 72 nucleotides long. The record is from the annotation of a RefSeq genome assembly. NCBI's taxonomy places the organism in Eukaryota, Fungi, Ascomycota, Dothideomycetes, Botryosphaeriales, Aplosporellaceae.
GGCUGGUUGGCGCAAUGGUAGCGCGUGCCCCUCCUAAGGGCAAGGUUGCGGGUUCGAGUCCCGUGCUGGUCG